This is a non-coding RNA of Sinocyclocheilus rhinocerous, 467 nucleotides long. The record is from the annotation of a RefSeq genome assembly. NCBI's taxonomy places the organism in Eukaryota, Metazoa, Chordata, Actinopteri, Cypriniformes, Cyprinidae.
AUGUGGAGUUACACUGGUCCCGCAGUGAAGCCCUCCGUGUCUCUGCUGCCUCCCUCUUCUCUGCAGAUCUCUGGAGACUCAGCCGCACUGCUCUGCCUGCUCAGCUCUUACUCUCCACAGGGGGCGCAGGUGAGCUGGACGCUGGACGGGUCAGAGGUCACCGAGGGGGUUCAGACCAGCGCAGAGAGCGAGCGGGACGGACGCUACAGCCGCAGCAGCGUCCUGAGCCUCAGCAAAGCACGCUGGGAAGACGGCGAGCGCUUCGUCUGCAGAGUAACACAUGACGGAGCUGAUCACGAGACCUCGUUCCUCAAGAGCUCCGAGUGCUGAUGUUUCUCCAGUGAAGAGCAGCAGGAUUCACAGCAGUCACCUGAUUUACAGCUCAAUACUCAAGCAGUCUUUCAAUGUGCUGCCAUUGCUGUUCAUUCAAUAAAGCUUCUGAACGCCUUACAUUUGUGUUCGACUGC